Molecule: ribosomal RNA, 1439 nt
Filed under: uncultured bacterium
Lineage: Bacteria
Description: bacterial SSU rRNA
Rfam family: Bacterial small subunit ribosomal RNA
Source: RNAcentral
AGGGUUUGAUCAUGGCUCAGAACGUACGCUGGCGGCACGCCUAACACAUGCAAGUCGAACGAAGUAGCAAUACUUAGUGGCAGACGGGUGAGUAACAUGUAGGUAUCUGCCCUUUGGCCUGGAAUAACACGAGGAAACUUGUGCUAAUACUGGAUAAGUCUUUACGGAGAAAGCUUUAUGCACCAUUGGAUGAGCCUGCACUUGAUUAGUUUGUUGGUGGGGUAAUGGCCUACCAAGACUUUGAUCAAUAGCUGAUUUGAGAGGAUGAUCAGCCACAUUGGGACUGAGACACGGCCCAAACUCCUACGGGAGGCAGCAGUGGGGAAUCUUGCACAAUGGAGGAAACUCUGAUGCAGCGAUGCCGCGUGAGUGAAGAAGGCCUUUGGGUUGUAAAGCUCUUUCGUCGGGGAAGAAAAUGACUGUACCCGAAUAAGAAGGUCCGGCUAACUUCGUGCCAGCAGCCGCGGUAAUACGAAGGGACCUAGCGUAGUUCGGAAUUACUGGGCUUAAAGAGUUCGUAGGUGGUUGAAAAAGUUGGUGGUGAAAUCCCAGAGCUUAACUCUGGAACUGCCAUCAAAACUUUUCAGCUAGAGUUUGAUAGAGGAAAGCAGAAUUUCUAGUGUAGAGGUGAAAUUCGUAGAUAUUAGAAAGAAUACCGAUUGCGAAGGCAGCUUUCUGGAUCAAUACUGACACUGAGGAACGAAAGCAUGGGUAGCGAAGAGGAUUAGAUACCCUCGUAGUCCAUGCCGUAAACGAUGUGUGUUAGACGUUGGAAAUUUAUUUUCAGUGUCGCAGCGAAAGCGAUAAACACACCGCCUGGGGAGUACGACCGCAAGGUUAAAACUCAAAUGAAUUGACGGGGACCCGCACAAGUAGUGGAGCAUGUGGUUUAAUUCGAAGAUACGCGCAGAACCUUACCAACACUUGACAUGUUCGUCGCGACUUUAAGAGAUUAAAGUUUUCGGUUCGGCCGGACGAAACACAGGUGCUGCAUGGCUGUCGUCAGCUCGUGUCGUGAGAUGUUGGGUUAAGUCCCGCAACGAGCGCAACCCUCACUUUUAGUUGCCAUCAUUAAGUUGGGCACUCUGAAAGAACUGCCAGUGAUAAGCUGGAGGAAGGUGGGGAUGACGUCAAGUCCUCAUGGCCCUUACGUGUUGGGCUACACACGUGCUACAAUGGUAUCUACAACAGGAAGCAAGACGGCGACGUUAAGCAAAUCCUUAAAAGAUACCUCAGUUCGGAUUGUACUCUGCAACUCGAGUACAUGAAGCUGGAAUUACUAGUAAUCGUGGAUCAGCGUGCCACGGUGAAUGCGUUCCCGGGUCUUGUACACACCGCCCGUCACACCAUGGGAGUUGGUUCUACCUUAAGGCAAGGUUUAAAACCCUUGACCACGGUAUAGUCAGCGACUGGGGUGAAGUCGUAACAAGGUAACCGUA